GAUGAACGCUGGCGGCGUGCCUAAUACAUGCAAGUCGAGCGAACAGACGAGGAGCUUGCUCCUCUGACGUUAGCGGCGGACGGGUGAGUAACACGUGGAUAACCUACCUAUAAGACUGGGAUAACUUCGGGAAACCGGAGCUAAUACCGGAUAAUAUAUUGAACCGCAUGGUUCAAUAGUGAAAGACGGUUUUGCUGUCACUUAUAGAUGGAUCCGCGCCGCAUUAGCUAGUUGGUAAGGUAACGGCUUACCAAGGCAACGAUGCGUAGCCGACCUGAGAGGUUGCGCGGCAACACGAGUACUGGAACACGGAACAGACUCAUCAGGAAGGCAGCAGUAGGGAAUCCUCCGCAAUGGGCGCAAGCCUGACGGAACACCGCCGCGCGAGUGAUGAAGGUCUUCGGAUCUUAAAACUCUGUUAUCAGCGAAGAACAAAUGUGUAAGUACCUAUGCACGUCUUGACGGUACCUAAUCAGAAAGCCACGGCUAACUACGUG
Molecule: ribosomal RNA, 497 nt
Filed under: uncultured bacterium
Lineage: Bacteria
Description: partial 16S ribosomal RNA
Rfam family: Bacterial small subunit ribosomal RNA
Source: RNAcentral